MicroRNA precursor from Oreochromis aureus, 56 nucleotides. Lineage: Eukaryota; Metazoa; Chordata; Actinopteri; Cichliformes; Cichlidae. The record is from Ensembl.
UCUGUUCAUCUGGACGUAGCGUUUCUCCCACUGAAAACGUCCAGACGAACAGAAUC